Molecule: small RNA, 30 nt
Filed under: Bombyx mori (domestic silkworm)
Lineage: Eukaryota; Metazoa; Arthropoda; Insecta; Lepidoptera; Bombycidae
Description: ovarian small RNA-31650
Source: RNAcentral
UGACCUUCACCGGGGGAGUUCACCCCCUAC